RNAcentral lists this ribosomal RNA (349 nucleotides) under Salmonella enterica. Its description in RNAcentral is "partial 23S ribosomal RNA". It matches the Rfam family "Bacterial large subunit ribosomal RNA", at positions 1 to 377 of the family's 2925-position model. RNAcentral also lists the same sequence under 1 other name. The record is from RNAcentral. Lineage: Bacteria; Pseudomonadati; Pseudomonadota; Gammaproteobacteria; Enterobacterales; Enterobacteriaceae.
GGGUUGUGAGGUUAAGCGACUAAGCGUACACGGUGGAUGCCCUGGCAGUCAGAGGCGAUGAAGGGCGUGCUAAUCUGCGAUAAGCGCCGGUAAGGUGAUAUGAACCGUUAUAACCGGCGAUACCCGAAUGGGGAAACCCAGUGUGAUUCGUCACACUAUCAUUAACUGAAUCCAUAGGUUAAUGAGGCGAACCGGGGGAACUGAAACAUCUAAGUACCCCGAGGAAAAGAAAUCAACCGAGAUUCCCCCAGUAGCGGCGAGCGAACGGGGAGGAGCCCAGAGCCUGAAUCAGCAUGUGUGUUAGUGGAAGCGUCUGGAAAGACGCGCGAUACAGGGUGACAGCCCCGUA